Molecule: ribosomal RNA, 640 nt
Filed under: uncultured Actinomycetes bacterium
Lineage: Bacteria; Bacillati; Actinomycetota; Actinomycetes
Description: bacterial SSU rRNA
Rfam family: Bacterial small subunit ribosomal RNA
Source: RNAcentral
CGCGGCCUAUCAGCUUGUUGGUGGGGUAACGGCCUACCAAGGCAUCGACGGGUAGCUGGUCUGAGAGGACGAUCAGCCACACUGGAACUGAGACACGGUCCAGACUCCUACGGGAGGCAGCAGCAGGGAAUCUUGCGCAAUGGGCGAAAGCCUGACGCAGCAACGCCGCGUGGGGGAUGAAGGCCUUCGGGUUGUAAACCCCUUUCAGGAGGGAAGAAAUUGACGGUACCUCCAAAAGAAGGACCGGCCAACUACGUGCCAGCAGCCGCGGUAAUACGUAGGGUCCGAGCGUUAUCCGGAAUCAUUGGGCGUAAAGAGCUCGUAGGCGGUUCAGCAAGUCGGCUGUGAAAGUCCGAGGCUCAACCUCGGAAUUGCAGUCGAUACUGCUGUGACUUGAAUUCGGUAGAGGAGAUUGGAAUUCCACGUGUAGCGGUGAAAUGCGCAGAUAUGUGGAGGAACACCAGUAGCGAAGGCGGAUCUCUGGGCCGAUAUUGACGCUGAGGAGCGAAAGCGUGGGGAGCAAACAGGAUUAGAUACCCUGGUAGUCCACGCCGUAAACGUUGGAUACUAGGUGUGGCGGUCUUACCAACGACUGCCGUGCCGAAGCUAACGCAUUAAGUACCCCGCCUGGGGAGUACGG